AAAUAGCAGUGAGAUGUCUCCUUGGAUCAAGCAGCUAUUACCCCGCUAAUUAGAAAUUAUAUCCCUGUAUGUUAUGUUUUUGCAAGUAUUUAUCCAAUUGCAGUUUAAACAUCUAUAUAGACUCUGACAAAACCACCUCUUCAGGCCAAAAAUUCCAUAUCCUUAUUGCUCUUACUGUAAAAAAACAUUUUCUUUGCCUUAGAUGAAAUCUCCUUUC
Molecule: long non-coding RNA, 217 nt
Filed under: Pelobates cultripes (western spadefoot toad)
Lineage: Eukaryota; Metazoa; Chordata; Amphibia; Anura; Pelobatidae
Source: RNAcentral